GGGGUUGUAGCUCAGUUGUUGAGCUCUUACCUUGCAUGUAUGAGGCCCUGGGUUCGAUCCUUAGCACCA
RNAcentral lists this transfer RNA (69 nucleotides) under Ictidomys tridecemlineatus (thirteen-lined ground squirrel). RNAcentral describes it as "Spermophilus tridecemlineatus (thirteen-lined ground squirrel) tRNA". It matches the Rfam family "tRNA". Rfam says of the family: Transfer RNA (tRNA) molecules are approximately 80 nucleotides in length. Their secondary structure includes four short double-helical elements and three loops (D, anti-codon, and T loops). Further hydrogen bonds mediate the characteristic L-shaped molecular structure. tRNAs have two regions of fundamental functional importance: the anti-codon, which is responsible for specific mRNA codon recognition, and the 3' end, to which the tRNAs corresponding amino acid is attached (by aminoacyl-tRNA synthetases). tRNAs cope with the degeneracy of the genetic code in two manners: having more than one tRNA (with a specific anti-codon) for a particular amino acid; and 'wobble' base-pairing, i.e. permitting non-standard base-pairing at the 3rd anti-codon position. The record is from Rfam by way of RNAcentral. Lineage: Eukaryota; Metazoa; Chordata; Mammalia; Rodentia; Sciuridae.